ACCCGCACAAGCGGUGGAGCAUGUUGCUUAAUUCGACGCAACGCGAAGAACCUUACCGGGUUUGACGUGCAUCGGACAGGUGUGGAGACACACCCUCCUUUCGGGGCCGGUGCAUCAGGUGCUGCAUGGUUGUCGUCAGCUCGUGCCGUGAGGUGUCGGGUUAAGUCCCAUAACGAGCGCAACCCUUAUCGUUAGUUGCCAGCUGGUAAAGCAGGGGACUUUAGCGAAACUGCCACCGUAAGGUGAGAGGAAGGUGGGGAUGACGUCAAAUCAGCACGGCCCUUAUGUCCAGGGCUACACACGUGUUACAAUGGCCGGCACAGAGGGCAGCUACCUGGUGACAGGAUGCUAAUCUCGAAAACCGGUCUCAGUUCGGAUCGAAGUCUGCAACUCGACUUCGUGAAGCUGGAUUCGCUAGUAAUCGCGCAUCAGCCAUGGCGCGGUGAAUACGUUCCCGGGCCUU
This 463-nucleotide ribosomal RNA is filed under the name uncultured Sphingobacteriales bacterium. RNAcentral's name for it is "bacterial SSU rRNA". It matches the Rfam family "Bacterial small subunit ribosomal RNA", at positions 919 to 1382 of the family's 1533-position model. Lineage: Bacteria; Pseudomonadati; Bacteroidota; Sphingobacteriia; Sphingobacteriales. The record is from RNAcentral.